RNAcentral lists this ribosomal RNA (253 nucleotides) under uncultured bacterium. RNAcentral describes it as "partial 16S ribosomal RNA". It matches the Rfam family "Bacterial small subunit ribosomal RNA", at positions 524 to 776 of the family's 1533-position model. The record is from RNAcentral.
UACGUAGGGGGCUAGCGUUGUCCGGAAUCAUUGGGCGUAAAGAGCGUGUAGGCUGCUCGGUAAGUCCGCUGUAAAAGUCAAAGGCUCAACCUUUGAAUGUCAGUGGAUACUGCCGGGCUAGAGUCCGGAAGAGGCGAGUGGAACUCCUGGUGUAGCGGUGGAAUGCGCAGAUAUCAGGAGGAACACCGGUGGCGAAGGCGGGUCUCUGGGCCGUAACUGACGCUGAGGAGCGAAAGCAUGGGGAGCGAACAGG